GAUCCUGGCUCAGGAUGAACGCUAGCUACAGGCUUAACACAUGCAAGUCGAGGGGCAGUAUGUUGGUUGCUUGCAACCAAUGAUGGCGACCGGCGCACGGGUGAGUAACGCGUAUCCAACCUUCCGCAUACUCGGGAAUAGCCUUUCGAAAGAAAGAUUAAUGCCCGAUGGUUUCCCGAAUCCGCAUGAGAACGGGAAUAAAGAUUCAUCGGUAUGCGAUGGGGAUGCGUCCCAUUAG
RNAcentral lists this ribosomal RNA (238 nucleotides) under uncultured bacterium. RNAcentral's name for it is "partial 16S ribosomal RNA". It matches the Rfam family "Bacterial small subunit ribosomal RNA", at positions 15 to 244 of the family's 1533-position model. The record is from RNAcentral.